This 261-nucleotide ribosomal RNA is filed under the name uncultured bacterium. RNAcentral's name for it is "partial 16S ribosomal RNA". It matches the Rfam family "Bacterial small subunit ribosomal RNA", at positions 94 to 354 of the family's 1533-position model. The record is from RNAcentral.
AGUGGCGGACGGGUGAGUAACGCGUGGGUAACCUGCCCUAUACAGGGGGAUAACAGUUAGAAAUGACUGCUAAUACCGCAUAAGCGCACUAAAACCGCAUGGUUCGGUGUGAAAAACUGAGGUGGUAUAGGAUGGACCCGCGUCUGAUUAGCUUGUUGGUGGGGUAACGGCUCACCAAGGCGACGAUCAGUAGCCGGCCUGAGAGGGCGACCGGCCACAUUGGGACUGAGACACGGCCCAAACUCCUACGGAAGGCAGCAG